GGAGUCGUGGGUGAGCGGCUGAAACCAGUAGUUUGCUAAACUGCCGAUCUGGGUAACUGGAUCCGAGGGUUCGAAUCCCUCCGACUCCGCCA
Molecule: transfer RNA, 92 nt
Filed under: Polymorphobacter sp.
Lineage: Bacteria; Pseudomonadati; Pseudomonadota; Alphaproteobacteria; Sphingomonadales; Sphingosinicellaceae
Also listed under: 3 other names
Description: tRNA-Ser
Rfam family: tRNA
About the family: Transfer RNA (tRNA) molecules are approximately 80 nucleotides in length. Their secondary structure includes four short double-helical elements and three loops (D, anti-codon, and T loops). Further hydrogen bonds mediate the characteristic L-shaped molecular structure. tRNAs have two regions of fundamental functional importance: the anti-codon, which is responsible for specific mRNA codon recognition, and the 3' end, to which the tRNAs corresponding amino acid is attached (by aminoacyl-tRNA synthetases). tRNAs cope with the degeneracy of the genetic code in two manners: having more than one tRNA (with a specific anti-codon) for a particular amino acid; and 'wobble' base-pairing, i.e. permitting non-standard base-pairing at the 3rd anti-codon position.
Source: RNAcentral